Anneissia japonica is the source of this 2067-nucleotide long non-coding RNA. RefSeq lists it as uncharacterized. The record is from RefSeq and is a predicted model, not a curated record. Lineage: Eukaryota; Metazoa; Echinodermata; Crinoidea; Comatulida; Comatulidae. The transcript is spliced from 2 exons.
AAAGAUAACCUCUAUGUGGAUGACUGGCUUUCUGGAGCUGAUUAUUAUGAAGAUGUAAUUCUGUCGUUCAAGCAAGCACACUAUGUAAUGGCUCAGGGAAAGUUUAAACUUGCUUCUUGGAAUUCAAAUGAUGCCCAGCAUGCAGGAGUGGACACAAUGAUCACUUGAUUAAGAAACAAUUAUUGGAUAGUUGGAGUUAGGAGGUUGGCCAAGACUGUUAAGAAGAAGUGUCAGUCAUGUCAACGUGUAGAUGCUCAGGCAUGUAACCAAGCUGGAGCCCCUCUUCCUGAAUUGUGUGUUCAUCAGGCACCCCUUUUCACAGUGACAGGUCUAGACUAUGCUGGACCAUUGUUUUGCCUUGACUUUCUAGGUGUCAAAUUUUACAUUCUAUUGUUCACUUGUGCGGUUGUCCGAGCAAUUCAUUAAGAGCUGACAGAUUCGUUGUCACAAAAGGAUUGUGUUAGCUCUGAGGCGUUUUGUCGCAAGGCGUGGAUUACCCACUGUGAUGUAUUCAGACAAUGCAAAGACAUUUGAUGGAGGUCGAAAAGAACUUUUACCCUUAUUUGGUGGUGACGUUCCAAAAUAGAAGAAUAUCACUCCACGAUCUCCUUGGUGGGGAUGAUGCUGGGAGCGUCUAGUUUGUUCAGUUAAAUGUGGUUUGAAGAAAUUAGUUGGAACUCGUUCACUUACUAGGUCUGAAUUAGAAACUUCAUUACAGGAAGUUGAAGCCUAUGUUAACUCAAGACCCUUGACCUUUGUGGGAGAUGAAGUUGAAACCACUAAGGCUAUGACCCCAUCACACUUCUUAAUAGGUAAAAUUGCAGGUUUCCAAACUAAAAUUUUGGAACUCUAGGUAGAAGUGUUCGGAGAAGAUUUGAGUGAACGAGAGCUAGUGCGACAGAGAUUAGAUUAGAUAGAGAUUAGAUUGUGGAGCAUGGAAUACAUACAGAAUCUACCCCUACUAUUAGUAAAUUUAAAGGAAAGGGUAAUGUGGGUCUAGGUUCACUAGUGUUAAUAAGGGAGGAUAAUGUACCACGUAUGAAGUGGCCGCUAGGACGUAUAGUAAAAGAAUUCCCUGGGAAAGAUGGUUUAAUUAGAACCUUUGAACUGAAAACUGCAAAGGGUAAUUUGAUCCGCUCAAUACAAUGGUUGCAUGAUUUAGAAUUAGGAGGAAGGUAUACUCUUCCACAUGUGGAUAAUUAUCAAGUAGAAAACACAGAUAUGCCACAGAAUACACUAGCAACUCGUAGUGGCCGGGUAAUAAAAUACAGUAAAACAUGCUCUAUUGUACUUUAAUAAUGUAGUGAUCCAUAAUAAUAUGAUACAAUGUAUGUUAUGGUGUAACUGAGAUCCACCUCUAAGGUGAGAUAAUGUAAUAUUCAUACACGAGUAUGAAAAAUAUUGUUGAUUCAUCACAUGGCGUGAUGUGAAAAUUUUAGAAAUACAGUACUGAAAAUUAAUUGCACUGAGUGCCUUUAUAUGUAUUACUGGAAAUCGGUCAGCAAAUGAUUGGAGCAUUGGCUCAUUGAAUAGCUCACUGGGUGAUGAGCAUUACUGACCGCCACUUGGGACGGUAUCCCUGUUCGUGAGGAAGUUAUCUAACUUCAGUUAGCUCUGUUUGAGCUUUUGAAAUGUUUAUAUGGGUUGCGUUUAAUUAUUGGUAAAAGUAAAUGAAAGACGUUAAGAUUUACACAUUUGACUUUACAUAGUUUAUUCAUGGUUUUAUGCAGUUCUUAACUAAACUUGAGGAGUUUACUAUGAUGCAGUGUUUAUUUACUUGAAUUAGAUUCAAGUUAAGUUGCUCUCCCAACAAUAAACAUAUACACUUACGCAUUGAAGUACAGUAUGGAGCUAUUGAUAUUAUUCAUUUGUAGUAAAGCAAUCAGAGUUACAUAAUCCAUUAUGAUUAUGUUGUCAAAUAAGUGUCUACCCACAUAAAGUAGAUUGAUAUUUGUAAUAUCAAGGUGGGAGAAUGUUGACGGUUGGUUUAAUGUUUGAUGUAUUUGGCGUCUCAUAGUUGUUUAUGUGUUGUAGAAUUUAUGAAUAAAUUAGUUGUGUUACAAGUUU